ACUCCUACGGGAGGCAGCAGUGGGGAAUAUUGCACAAUGGAGGAAACUCUGAUGCAGCAACGCCGCGUGGAGGAUGACACAUUUCGGUGCGUAAACUCCUUUUAUAUGGGAAGAUAAUGACGGUACCAUAUGAAUAAGCACCGGCUAACUCCGUGCCAGCAGCCGCGGUAAUACGGAGGGUGCAAGCGUUACUCGGAAUCACUGGGCGUAAAGCGCGCGCAGGCGGCUAUUUAAGUUGGAUGUGAAAGCCUACGGCUCAACCGUAGAACUGCAUCCAAAACUAUUUAGCUAGAGUGUGGGAGAGGAAGAUGGAAUUAGUUGUGUAGGGGUAAAAUCCGUAGAGAUAACUAGGAAUACCAAAAGCGAAGGCAAUCUUCUGGAACACUACUGACGCUGAGGCGCGAAAGCGUGGGGAGCAAACAGGAUUAGAUACCCUGGUAGUCCACGCAGUAAACGAUGAAUGUUAGUCGUCGGGGGCCUAGUGUCUUCGGUGAUGCAGCUAACGCAUUAAACAUUCCGCCUGGGGAGUACGGUCGCAAGAUUAAAACUCAAAGGAAUAGACGGGGACCCGCACAAGUGGUGGAGCAUGUGGUUUAAUUCGAAGAUACGCGAAGAACCUUACCUGGCCUUGACAUAUAUUAGAACUCACCAGAGAUGGAGAGGUGCCUUCGGGAGCUUUUAUACAGGUGCUGCACGGCUGUCGUCAGCUCGUGUCGUGAGAUGUUGGGUUAAGUCCCGCAACGAGCGCAACCCUCGUCACUAGUUACUAACGGUUCGGCCGAGGACUCUAGUGAGACUGCCUUCGUAAGGAGGAGGAAGGUGAGGACGACGUCAAGUCAUCAUGGCCCUUACGGCUAGGGCAACACACGUGUUAGAAUGGCCAGGACAGUGAGACGCGAUACCGUGAGGUGGAGCAAUCUAUAAACCUGGUCUCAGUUCGGAUUGUAGUCUGCAACUCGACUACAU
Molecule: ribosomal RNA, 966 nt
Filed under: uncultured Campylobacterota bacterium
Lineage: Bacteria; Pseudomonadati; Campylobacterota
Description: bacterial SSU rRNA
Rfam family: Bacterial small subunit ribosomal RNA
Source: RNAcentral